Vicia villosa (hairy vetch) is the source of this 824-nucleotide long non-coding RNA. RefSeq lists it as uncharacterized. The transcript has 2 exons. NCBI's taxonomy places the organism in Eukaryota, Viridiplantae, Streptophyta, Magnoliopsida, Fabales, Fabaceae. The record is from RefSeq and is a predicted model, not a curated record.
UACUAUAACUAGUCUAAUGGAAUAUUAUUUCAAGACCCUUUACUAUGCAUUUCCCUCCUAUAAAUACUUGCUCCUUAUUCAGCAAGAGAUAUCAAACACUCCAAAGUUGUUCCAAAUCUGCAUAUUAUAUUUUCUCUUACAUAAUGACUCUUAAUUUUCCUUUUUUAUCUAAGGGGUGGAGGAGGAGUUAAUAGGGAAUUAUGUUGUUGACAGAAGAUAGAGAGCACAGAUGAUGAUAUGCAUUUGUAGGACCUGCUGGCUGCAUCAAUGGAUUGUGCAUCUCACUCCUUUGUGCUCUCUAUGCUUCUGUCAUCACCUUCUUCCUCCAAUUUCCAUUAACUUUCCUCUACUCCCAAUUUUUUUUUUAUGUUAAGACAUGUUUGAUGUGUGAUAUGUGUCACUAUCCAAGUGUCUAAUGCAGAUAUAUGUAUGAUUACAUUCAAUUAUUAUCCAUGUUAAUCGUCUUAAGUUUUUGAAAAAUUCAUCUGAGACAAAAUAGCCAUCGGCCCUAUUUAGAGUUUAAUUUUGCCAAAUCUAUGAUAAGGUGUUAUUUAUCCAUAAUUUAUCAGUGACAAAUUUGAGACUUUUGAUUGUAGCCAAUCUAUGACACUUUCAAAGACGGCCCUGAUAUUAAUAUUGGAGAUAUGCACAUGCUGUGGCUGCUAGAGACCUGUUUGUUGAUGUCAUGCAGAAUUUGCUUGGUUGGCAUUCAUUCAUGAUCUAGUGGAAGCUGCGGUUUUGAACUUCUUCUACUUAUUCUUGUUUUUGUUGGUGUGGUUUUUUGUGUAUUCUCAAUUUGUUUAUGAUAUUAAAUUUUUGUUCAA